GGCGAUACCGCGGACGGUUCAUUAAAUCAGUCGUGGUCCAAAUGGGUCCGUCCUCACGGUAUACUUGGAUAACCGUGGUAAUUCCAGAGCUAAUACAUGCAACUCAUAUCCCGAGGUGCUUGCAAAAGCACCGACGGAAGCACUUAUUAGACCAAUGCCCAACGGCGUGGUGCGCCUUGUGCGCGCGCACUGCUGCCGCCCGCAUAAAUGGUGACUCUGGAUAAUUACUUGGACGAGCGCACGUAUCUGUUCAAGCAGAACGGCGCCGCCUCUUUCGAGUGUCUGCCUUAUCAGCCAUCAAUCGCUCGUUAUGUGCGAACGAUGGCCUUGACGGGUAACGGGGAAUCAGGGUUCGAUUCCGGAGAGGCAGCCUGAGAAACGGCUACCACGUCUAAGGACGGCAGCAGGCACGCAAAUUACCCAAUCCCAGAACUCUGGGGAGGUAGUGACGAAAAAUAACGAUGCGGGCGCUCCUUCUGGAGCCCCGCAAUCGGAAUGAGUAUGUCUUAAAUAACCUGUCGAGAACCCACUGAAGGGCAAGUCUGGUGCCAGCAGCCGCGGUAAUUCCAGCUUCAGUAGCAUCUAUUAAAGUUGCUGCGGUUAAAAGGCUCGCAGUUGGAGCCACUGGUGUUUGGUAUAUGGAGCAGCUGGACGUUGGGUACCUCGUGUCCCCGUCCUGUUGUCUGCUCCUGACUCUAUGGCACUGAAUAUGGGAAAGCCUCGCGCGGCUUGGGCGAUUUGCUCAGAGGUGUUGGUGUUGGGCGAUUUUAAGCUUUUUGCUUUGCGGCAAUCUGCUUUGCGUUUCAAGCCCCCUCUGUGUCCUUGCUCGCGCGGGGUGGCUCCUGUGUCACCUUGAGUAAAUCAUGGUGCUCACAGCAGUCGUGCGGGCCUCGUGCCCUGUGAACAGUCUUUGCGGACUGAAUUGGUUUUGCAAGGCAUGACGAAACAUGACGUCGCUGCUGGUCGCGGGCGGAGGGCUUUGCGGCCCCACCGGUUUGCCAGCAGUGACGUAAUGAUCAAUGGAGACGGUAGCUGGCAUUGGUAUUGCGCGGCGAGAGGUGAAAUUCUGCGACCCCCGCAAGACCUCCUAAAGCGAAGGCGUCUGCCAAGGA
Molecule: ribosomal RNA, 1112 nt
Filed under: Hyalella sp. GreenHy
Lineage: Eukaryota; Metazoa; Arthropoda; Malacostraca; Amphipoda; Hyalellidae
Description: bacterial SSU rRNA
Rfam family: Eukaryotic small subunit ribosomal RNA
Source: RNAcentral